This 253-nucleotide ribosomal RNA is filed under the name uncultured bacterium. RNAcentral describes it as "partial 16S ribosomal RNA". It matches the Rfam family "Bacterial small subunit ribosomal RNA", at positions 524 to 776 of the family's 1533-position model. The record is from RNAcentral.
UACGUAGGGAGCAAGCGUUGUUCGGAUUUACUGGGCGUAAAGGGCGCGUAGGCGGCAUGUUAAGUCAGCUGUGAAAUCUCCGAGCUUAACUCGGAACUGUCAGCUGAUACUGAUGUGCUUGAGUGCGGAAGGGGCAAUCGGAAUUCUUGGUGUAGCGGUGAAAUGCGUAGAUAUCAAGAGGAACACCUGAGGUGAAGACGGGUUGCUGGGACGUUACUGACGCUGAGACGCGAAAGCGUGGGGAGCGAACAGG